Molecule: ribosomal RNA, 404 nt
Filed under: uncultured prokaryote
Also listed under: 1 other name
Description: bacterial SSU rRNA
Rfam family: Bacterial small subunit ribosomal RNA
Source: RNAcentral
UGAGGAAUAUUGGGCAAUGGGCGCAAGCCUGACCCAGCAAUGCCGCGUGAAGGAAGACGGUUUUCGGAUUGUAAACUUCUUUUAAGAGGGACGAUAAUGACGGUACCUCUUGAAUAAGCCACGGCUAACUACGUGCCAGCAGCCGCGGUAAUACGUAGGUGGCAAGCGUUGUCCGGAUUUACUGGGUGUAAAGGGCGAGUAGGCGGAUCUGCAAGUCAGAUGUGAAAUCCCGGAGCUCAACUCCGGAACUGCAUUUGAAACUGUAGACCUUGAGUGAUGGAGAGGCAGGCGGAAUUCCCGGUGUAGCGGUGGAAUGCGUAGAUAUCGGGAGGAACACCAGUGGCGAAGGCGGCCUGCUGGACAUUAACUGACGCUGAGGAGCGAAAGCGUGGGGAGCAAACAGG